Molecule: ribosomal RNA, 333 nt
Filed under: uncultured eukaryote
Lineage: Eukaryota
Description: partial 18S ribosomal RNA
Rfam family: Eukaryotic small subunit ribosomal RNA
Source: RNAcentral
CCCUUAGAUGUCCUGGGCCGCACGCGUGCUACACUGACGCAUACAGCGAGUACUUCCCCGGCUCCGUGAGGCAGCCGGUAAUCAGCAAUGUGCGUCGUGAUGGGGAUAGAUCUUUGGAAUUCUGGAUCUUGAACGAGGAAUGCCUAGUAAGCGCGAGUCAUCAGCUCGCGCUGAUUACGUCCCUGCCCUUUGUACACACCGCCCGUCGCUACUACCGAUUGGAUGGUUUAGCGAGAACUUUGGACCGGAGCUCGGGUGGUCAGCAAUGGCCGCCCGAGACAUACUGGGAAAUCGCUCCAGCUUGAUCAUCUAGAGGAAGUAAAAGUCGUAACA